Molecule: transfer RNA, 67 nt
Filed under: Marmota monax (woodchuck)
Lineage: Eukaryota; Metazoa; Chordata; Mammalia; Rodentia; Sciuridae
Description: tRNA.Ala
Source: RNAcentral
GGUUGUGGCUCAAUGGUAGAGCACUUGCCUAGCAUGUGUGAGGCACUAGGUUCAAUUCUCAGCACCA